AACAAACGCUGGCGGCGUGCCUAAUACAUGCAAGUCGAACGGGGAAAGCUUUCGGGUGAGUACUAGUGGCGCACGGGUGAGGAACGCGUGGAUAAUCUGCCUUAGAGUGGGGGAUAACUAGUCGAAAGAUUAGCUAAUACCGCAUAAGACCACGAGAGCUGCGGCUUUUGAGGUCAAAGGUUUUUCGCUCUAAGAUGAGUCCGCGUAAGAUUAGCUAGUUGGUGAGGUAACGGCUCACCAAGGCGACGAUCUUUAACUGGUCUGAGAGGAUGAUCAGUCACACUGGAACUGAGACACGGUCGAGACUCCUACGGGAGGCAGCAGUAGGGAAUAUUGCACAAUGGAGGAAACUCUGAUGCAGCGACGCCGCGUGAGUGAUGAAGGCCUUCGGGUCGUAAAGCUCUGUCGCAGGGGAAUAACACAAUGAAGGUACCCUGUAAGAAAGGAUCGGCUAACUUCGUG
RNAcentral lists this ribosomal RNA (462 nucleotides) under uncultured bacterium. RNAcentral describes it as "partial 16S ribosomal RNA". It matches the Rfam family "Bacterial small subunit ribosomal RNA", at positions 29 to 507 of the family's 1533-position model. The record is from RNAcentral.